Non-coding RNA from Nemania serpens, 97 nucleotides. The record is from the annotation of a GenBank genome assembly. Lineage: Eukaryota; Fungi; Ascomycota; Sordariomycetes; Xylariales; Xylariaceae.
GGGCGAAUGGUCUAGAGGUAUGAUAUUCGCUUUGCAUUCUGGCUUGCUUAGAAAAAAUGCCUGCGAAGGGUCCGGGGUUCAAUUCCCCGUUCGUCCA